Molecule: transfer RNA, 92 nt
Filed under: Streptomyces malachitofuscus
Lineage: Bacteria; Bacillati; Actinomycetota; Actinomycetes; Kitasatosporales; Streptomycetaceae
Description: tRNA-Gly
Source: RNAcentral
GCGCGCCGUGGCCGACGGCCUCCGUGGUGCUCGGGUGGCCGAUGCGGCCGGUGUGCAUGAGCUGGGCGACGAUCGUCCCGCCGGCCGCGUGC